This 588-nucleotide ribosomal RNA is filed under the name uncultured Pedobacter sp. Its description in RNAcentral is "bacterial SSU rRNA". It matches the Rfam family "Bacterial small subunit ribosomal RNA", at positions 119 to 705 of the family's 1533-position model. Lineage: Bacteria; Pseudomonadati; Bacteroidota; Sphingobacteriia; Sphingobacteriales; Sphingobacteriaceae. The record is from RNAcentral.
AUGCAACCUACCUUUAUCUGGGGGAUAGCCCGGAGAAAUCCGGAUUAAUACCGCAUAAAAUCACAGUAUUGCAUAAUACAAUGAUCAAACAUUUAUGGGAUGAAGAUGGGCAUGCGUGUCAUUAGCUAGUUGGCGGGGUAACGGCCCACCAAGGCGACGAUGACUAGGGGAUCUGAGAGGAUGACCCCCCACACUGGUACUGAGACACGGACCAGACUCCUACGGGAGGCAGCAGUAAGGAAUAUUGGUCAAUGGAGGCAACUCUGAACCAGCCAUGCCGCGUGCAGGAAGACUGCCCUAUGGGUUGUAAACUGCUUUUAUCCGGGAAUAAACCUAUUUACGAGUAAAUAGCUGAAUGUACCGGAAGAAUAAGGAUCGGCUAACUCCGUGCCAGCAGCCGCGGUAAUACGGAGGAUCCAAGCGUUAUCCGGAUUAAUUGGGUUUAAAGGGUGCGUAGGCGGCCCGUUAAGUCAGGGGUGAAAGACGGUAGCUCAACUAUCGCAGUGCCUUUGAUACUGACGGGCUUGAAUGAACUAGAGGUAGGCGGAAUGAGACAAGUAGCGGUGAAAUGCAUAGAUAUGUCUCAGA